UGAUUGGUAAAUGAUACUUGUAUGAUUGGCUUGUGUACUCCCAUAUGUUGAUUGUGAAUGAAAGCUAGGAGGCUAGUAAGAAACGAAUGCUAAGAUAAUAGAUGACUAUUGAUUGUUAAUGCUACUAUAAGUAGAACUUGAGUGCAAUGUGUAAUGUGUGUGACACCGAUAACGGGUUGCGUCUAGUGAAGGAGUUCAAGUACGAGUCUAAGUGUAAAGGAAAGUGAAUGAGAAUGAGAAUGAGAAUGGAUAAGUGAAAGUGAAUAAGGAUGUGAAAGCAUAAGUGAGUGUAUAAGUGAAUAACGUUAAGGUUAAGCAUGAGUUAAGGGAAUCAUAUAGAGUCUAGAGGGAGUACGUGGGGUAGUAGUUCUACGCUAGGCACCCAUAGGAGUGUUGGAAAAGCUAUGAAUAGCUAAGAACAUGAACUCACUCUUUAAGAAUGGAAGAGACAAUCAACUUGUGAUUGAAUCCUCUCAGCAAAAUAAUCUACACAACCAUCUGAAUCUAGAGAGAUUAAGUGGCUGUGAGAU
This 530-nucleotide long non-coding RNA is filed under the name Brassica napus (rape). Its description in RNAcentral is "long non-coding RNA (BNAP_LNC004429)". The record is from RNAcentral. Lineage: Eukaryota; Viridiplantae; Streptophyta; Magnoliopsida; Brassicales; Brassicaceae.